GUAAGGCCCCUUCGGGGGUACACGAGUGGCGAACGGGUGAGUAACACGUGGGUAAUCUGCCCUGCACUUCGGGAUAAGCCUGGGAAACUGGGUCUAAUACCGGAUAUGAACUCCUGCCGCAUGGUGGGGGUUGGAAAGUUUUUCGGUGCAGGAUGAGCCCGCGGCCUAUCAGCUUGUUGGUGGGGUAAUGGCCUACCAAGGCGACGACGGGUAGCCGGCCUGAGAGGGUGAUCGGCCACACUGGGACUGAGACACGGCCCAGACUCCUACGGGAGGCAGCAGUGGGGAAUAUUGCACAAUGGGCGAAAGCCUGAUGCAGCGACGCCGCGUGGGGGAUGACGGUCUUCGGAUUGUAAACCCCUUUCAGUAGGGACGAAGCGCAAGUGACGGUACCUGCAGAAGAAGCACCGGCUAACUACGUGCCAGCAGCCGCGGUAAUACGUAGGGUGCGAGCGUUGUCCGGAAUUACUGGGCGUAAAGAGCUCGUAGGCGGUUUGUCACGUCGUCUGUGAAAUCCCUCGGCUUAACCGGGGGCGUGCAGGCAUACGGGCAGACUUGAGUACUACAGGGGAGACUGGAAUUCCUGGUGUAGCGGUGAAAUGCGCAGAUAUCAGGAGGAACACCGGUGCGAAGCGGGUCUCUGGGUAGUAACUGACGCUCAGGAGCGAAAGCAUGGGUAGCGAACAGGAUUAGAUACCCUGGUAGUCCAUGCCGUAACGGUGGGCGCUAGGUGUGGGGUCCUUCCACGGACUCCGUGCCGU
This 761-nucleotide ribosomal RNA is filed under the name Dietzia sp. RNAcentral's name for it is "bacterial SSU rRNA". It matches the Rfam family "Bacterial small subunit ribosomal RNA", at positions 69 to 849 of the family's 1533-position model. The record is from RNAcentral. Lineage: Bacteria; Bacillati; Actinomycetota; Actinomycetes; Mycobacteriales; Dietziaceae.